UACAGAGGUCCCGAGCGUUGUUCGGAUUCAUUGGGCGUAAAGGGUGCGUAGGCGGCGGGGCAAGUCUGAUGUGAAAUCCCGGGGCUCAACCCCGGAACUGCAUUGGAUACUGCCUUGCUUGAGUACUGGAGAGGAGACUGGAAUUUACGGUGUAGCAGUGAAAUGCGUAGAUAUCGUAAGGAAGGCCAGUGGCGAAGGCGAGUCUCGUGGACAGUUACUGACGCUGAGGCACGAAGGCCAGGGAGCAAACGGG
Molecule: ribosomal RNA, 253 nt
Filed under: uncultured bacterium
Lineage: Bacteria
Description: partial 16S ribosomal RNA
Rfam family: Bacterial small subunit ribosomal RNA
Source: RNAcentral